UGUCUAUCCAAAACUGUUACUAGCAGUAGAUUUAUACGGGGUCUUGUAUAUUCUUUAUUAAUUAAAAAAGAGAGUUCUUUGUAAUAUUCUGAGUUUCUAACAGGGUAUCAGAGCCGUGGGCUCCUCAACCUUAGAUCUGAGGUUAGGUUGCCGGAUCUGAGCUCGUCUUCAGAUUCGUUCCGACUCUCUAUCAAACAGUUGCACCUUCUCUGAUAUUGUCUCUCUCUCUUUGUGCGCAAAAUAAGAUUCCUCAUUCGCUUUACCUGUUAUUAAUAUGGGCUUCACACUGCAUCCCAUCUUUUGAUCCCUUUACAACCCA
RNAcentral lists this long non-coding RNA (319 nucleotides) under Amborella trichopoda. Its description in RNAcentral is "long non-coding RNA (ATRI_LNC003565)". The record is from RNAcentral. Lineage: Eukaryota; Viridiplantae; Streptophyta; Magnoliopsida; Amborellales; Amborellaceae.